GCCAGCCUAGUGCAGUGGUUUGAGCAUAGGAUGACAACUCUGGAGUCCAGGGUUCAAAUCCCUGCUCAGCUA
This is a non-coding RNA of Phrynosoma platyrhinos (Desert horned lizard), 72 nucleotides long. NCBI's taxonomy places the organism in Eukaryota, Metazoa, Chordata, Lepidosauria, Squamata, Phrynosomatidae. The record is from the annotation of a GenBank genome assembly.